AUCCUGGAUCCCCAGCCAUGGCAGAUGAGCCAGCCGCCCCUGAUCCCAGAGGACACAGUGGUCUGCAGCAGAGGUGUACGUGUGACUGCAGCCAGGCAGGGCAGUGACACCUGUGGCUACAGGAAGCAGAGGAGCUACAAAGGUGGAGUCCCAUGAUCCCAAACCCCUGUCCUCAGCUCAGAGCCUGGUGGCACCAGGUGUGCACAGCACUCCCACUUCCCAACAGCAGUGUUUCCUGGGACCAAAGGGUAACAGGCAACAGCUGAGACAGUGUUGCUUGUACCAGUCUCUCUCCCACCUCCCCAACCCCAAUCCCCACAGCUGUGCUGGAGCUUCCCACUCAGUAGAUCUCAGAUGUGGCUUUACAUUGACCAUUUCCGUGUCCUGAGAGCAAAGCCAGCAACCACAGAAAUGCAAGCAAUAAAAAGCCAUCAGUGGGCCCCAGAAGGGCAGGCAGCAACAAAGAGAGUAUCCAUGUGACACAAAAUAGAGGAGCUGGAGGAUAGAACUUGCAGAUCCCAAUAUAGCCAGACACAGCUCAGGUAAGAGAAAUCAAAAACAAUUACUAUAAUGACACCUACUGAAAACAAAAAAAGGCUUCUAAUCUCUAAGCAAUUGAAAAGUUUGAAUCAAAACAAAACUGUACCUAAAUAAAAAAUGUAUUUGCUACAGAAAACAAUCCUCCGAAACCAAACAUAAAGUCAUGGGAGAUUCGAUCUAAUGGACAAAAAAUUCAAAAUAGCUAUCAUGAAUAAACUCAGUGAACUUCAAGAAAACUCAGAAAGAUGGUUUCAUGACCUCAGGAAUGAAAUCAAUGAACAGAAGGAAUACUUCAAUCUCCAAAGAGAUCGAAACUUUCAAGAAGAACUAAGCAAAAAUUCUGGAGGUGAAGAACUCGAUGAAUGAGAUGAAGAAUGCAUUGGAAAACAUUGUAAAAAGAGCAUGUCAUGUGGAAGAGAGAAUUAGUGAGCUUGAAGAUAGCUAUAAAUGGGGCAGGUAGAAGAGGAGAGACAGCUAACACUUUUUAAAAUGUAGAAAUUCUACAAGAACUAUCUGACUCCUUUUGAAAUGACAACAUAAGGGUAAUGGAUAUCACAGAAUGAGGAGAGAGAGAGAAGGGAGUAGAGAGCUUAUUUAAAGAAAUGGUAGCUGAGAACUUCCCAAACCUGGGGAAGGAACUGAAUAUACAAAUCCAUUGUGCAAGUAGAACACUCAAUUAUCUCAACACAAAAGGACCCUCUCCAAGACACGUGAUAACAAAACAGUCAAAAAUCAAUGACAAGAGGAUUGCUGGGAAGGUGGUAACACAGGACUCUGAACUGACCUUCUCCAAUGGACACAACAAAUUUACCCCUGUGGAAUGAUUACCUCUGAGUGAGAACUGAAGACUGUUAAAACGAACCCCGAAAACAAAGAACAACACUGACUGAGUUGUAAGAGGCAGAGAUACCUUCCUGCUGAGGAAAGAGUCACAUUCUUGCCAUGGUGCUUCAAGCCAGAGACAUUUUAAGGUAUGAAGCUUUUCCUGGAGGAGCAGGGGAUCUGAGGGGGAGAGUGAUGUCAUAAUAAGCAGCCUUCAAAUUCAGCACAACCAGAGACAAGUACCUGGCUUUGCUGGUUAUUAAACCCAAAGGAGAAUAUCCCCCAGAAAACCUAUUGAAGAGAAGAGAAAGAAAAGCCUGCUUUCAAGGGGCCCAUGCAGAAAUUUACCCAUUCUAAAAACCAAACAAAAUCACCAGAAAGAAAGGUGCAUAGUCCUUUGGUUAAAAAAAAGACUCACUGGAUAAGCUCUGAGCACAUCUCAGAGAGGCAGAAGGUGAUUGGGAUCACCACCCCAGGGAGUGAACACUGGUCGGAGCCAUUAUUGUGACAUAAUACAGGCCUCUGAGACAGACAGUGGCAGAUGCAAUCAUAUUUCUUCCCAUGGCCUGUUAGCUGAGGGGUUUAGCCUACCCACUAGAG
Molecule: long non-coding RNA, 1962 nt
Filed under: Equus caballus (horse)
Lineage: Eukaryota; Metazoa; Chordata; Mammalia; Perissodactyla; Equidae
Description: lncRNA (ENSECAG00000052864.1)
Source: RNAcentral